GGAGAGGUCGCAUAGUGGUCUAUUGCACUUGCUUGGAAAGCAAGCGUACCGCAAGGUACCGAGGGUUCGAAUCCCUCCCUCUCCGCCA
RNAcentral lists this transfer RNA (88 nucleotides) under Patescibacteria group bacterium. Its description in RNAcentral is "tRNA-Ser". It matches the Rfam family "tRNA". Rfam says of the family: Transfer RNA (tRNA) molecules are approximately 80 nucleotides in length. Their secondary structure includes four short double-helical elements and three loops (D, anti-codon, and T loops). Further hydrogen bonds mediate the characteristic L-shaped molecular structure. tRNAs have two regions of fundamental functional importance: the anti-codon, which is responsible for specific mRNA codon recognition, and the 3' end, to which the tRNAs corresponding amino acid is attached (by aminoacyl-tRNA synthetases). tRNAs cope with the degeneracy of the genetic code in two manners: having more than one tRNA (with a specific anti-codon) for a particular amino acid; and 'wobble' base-pairing, i.e. permitting non-standard base-pairing at the 3rd anti-codon position. The record is from RNAcentral.